UACGUCGGUGACAAGCGUUGUCCGGAUUUACGGGGCGUAAAGAGCGCGCAGGCGGUCGUUCAAGUCGAGUGUGAAAGCCCCCGGCUCAACUGGGGAGGGUCACUCGAUACUGAUCGACUCGAAGGCAGGAGAGGGUAGUGGAAUUCCCGGUGUAGUGGUGAAAUGCGUAGAUAUCGGGAGGAACACCAGUGGCGAAGGCGACUACCUGGCCUGUUCUUGACGCUGAGGCGCGAAAGCUAGGGGAGCAAACGGG
RNAcentral lists this ribosomal RNA (253 nucleotides) under uncultured bacterium. RNAcentral's name for it is "partial 16S ribosomal RNA". It matches the Rfam family "Bacterial small subunit ribosomal RNA", at positions 524 to 776 of the family's 1533-position model. The record is from RNAcentral.